This is a non-coding RNA of Caenorhabditis elegans, 353 nucleotides long. The record is from Ensembl. NCBI's taxonomy places the organism in Eukaryota, Metazoa, Nematoda, Chromadorea, Rhabditida, Rhabditidae.
UUGUCUCUUGUUGUCAAAGCUUUCAAACCGAAUGAAAUUGAAAAAAAAAGAAAAGAAAUCGUUGGAAUGGACAUCAACCCAAAUGGGAUACCAGGCGGAAACGAGAAGUGAAAGAAAAAUUGGGAUGCAAAGAAAAAUCAACAAAGUCUAAAAAUGGUACUGAAAAUGAGCCUGAGCAGAUUUGCCAAAAUAACUUCAAGUUUACCAAAAUCCACGUCAUUAUAUUUAAUAUCUACUCGUCCAAAUACGAUUACUACGAAAAGGAAUCCAACGAGAGGCGGCGACUUAUCUCCCGUCAAUUCCGGGGGAGGCAAUGGGGGUGAAGGUCACUGUAUAUAAACGUUUCGGAUCAG